Molecule: ribosomal RNA, 253 nt
Filed under: uncultured archaeon
Lineage: Archaea
Description: partial 16S ribosomal RNA
Rfam family: Archaeal small subunit ribosomal RNA
Source: RNAcentral
AACCAGCACCUCAAGUGGUCAGGAUGAUUAUUGGGCCUAAAGCAUCCGUAGCCGGCUCUGUUAGUUUUCGGUUAAAUCUAUGUGCUCAACGCAUGGGCUGCCGAAAAUACUGCAGAGCUAGGGAGUGGGAGAGGUAGACGGUACUCGGUAGGAAGGGGUAAAAUCCUUUGAUCUAUCGAUGACCACCUGUGGCGAAGGCGGUCUACCAGAACACGUUCGACGGUGAGGGAUGAAAGCUGGGGGAGCAAACCGG